GGACCAGGUGGGCUGCACCCAGGCUAACUCACCUGGGGACGUGGGUCCGGAUCAUGAUACCUUUCAGCCCUAUGGGAAGUGUCAACGAAAGCCUGGGAAAUGAGGUCUCAGUGAUUCUGACCCCAUCCUCCAGCCAGCGCUGGCCAGGGAGACGGCAGGCCCUGGUCACCCAAGCUGAGGGCAUGAGCUCAGCCCCGGUUACAGCCUGCUCAUCUCAUAGUGUUAGGCUGGGCGUGGGAAAGAGGCAGCCUGUGGACACGGGGCUCCCUGACCGGAGGCAGUACACGCCAGGCAGGCAACAGCAGGCUUUCACAGCGUGUGAGACUCCGCAGAGUUCCUGGCACAGUAAACACUAAAAAAUG
RNAcentral lists this long non-coding RNA (362 nucleotides) under Chinchilla lanigera (long-tailed chinchilla). RNAcentral's name for it is "lncRNA (ENSCLAG00000028809.1)". The record is from RNAcentral. Lineage: Eukaryota; Metazoa; Chordata; Mammalia; Rodentia; Chinchillidae.